AUGGCGACUCUCCUCCGCCGAUCCGCCGCCCCCGCGCGGCAUCUUCUCCUCCUUCCCCGCCAGCUCGGCGCCGCCCGGUCCAUGUCCCGCUACUACGCCCGUGACGAGGUUUCACGGUUCGACGCGCUGAGCACGCCGGUGAACUGGGGCGUGAGCAUCGUGCCGGAGAAGAAGGCCUUCGUGAUUGAGCGCUUCGGCAAGUAUCUCAAGACGCUCGACUCCGGGAUCCACGGGCUCGUCCCCCUCGUCGACCGCAUCGCCUACGUGCACUCUCUCAAGGAGGAAGCCAUCCCCAUCCCCGACCAGUCCGCUAUCACCAAGGAUAACGUGGUCAUCCAGAUCGACGGCGUCCUCUACGUCAAGAUUGUUGAUCCCUACCGUGCUUCAUAUGGCGUGGAGAAUCCCAUUUUUGCAGUCAUUCAACUUGCGCAGACAACUAUGAGAAGUGAGCUUGGAAAGAUAACCUUGGACAAGACUUUUGAAGAGAGGGACACAUUGAAUGAGAAGAUUGUGAGGUCCAUAAAUGAGGCUUCGACAGACUGGGGCUUGAAGUGUCUUCGUUAUGAGAUCAGGGACAUUUCUCCUCCACCGGGCGUGAAGAAUGCUAUGGAGAUGCAAGCAGAGGCAGAAAGGAGAAAGCGUGCUCAAAUUCUCCAGUCAGAAGGGGCUAUGUUGGAUCAGGCAAACCGCGCCAAGGGUGAGGCUGAAGCGAUUCUUUCCAAGUCACAAGCUACGGCCGAAGGGAUUAGAAUGGUCUCAGAGUCCAUGAGAGCUGAAGGCAGUGCUGAGGCUGCAAAACUGAGAAUUGCUGAACAGUACAUCACAGCAUUUGCUGCUCUGGCCAAGAAUACCACGACAAUGCUUCUUCCAAGCGAUGCUGGCAACCCAUCAUCUAUGAUAGCCCAGUCUCUCCAGAUAUACAAGCAUAUAAGCCAGUCCAGCAGCCUGAAAGGAGGGAACCAACAGGCAGAAGAAGUUGAGGAAGCAGGACCGCAAGAAGAGGGCGAUACGUUCGGCCUGCCUUCUGUGACCAGCGCGAUGCCACCCAGCACGCAAACAGGCCAUGGCAGCACGUUCUCCCUGCAGAAGCGUAAAGAAUGA
RNAcentral lists this ribosomal RNA (1101 nucleotides) under Triticum aestivum (bread wheat). Its description in RNAcentral is "partial small subunit ribosomal RNA". Lineage: Eukaryota; Viridiplantae; Streptophyta; Magnoliopsida; Poales; Poaceae. The record is from RNAcentral.